RNAcentral lists this long non-coding RNA (815 nucleotides) under Olea europaea subsp. europaea. Lineage: Eukaryota; Viridiplantae; Streptophyta; Magnoliopsida; Lamiales; Oleaceae. The record is from RNAcentral.
UCCCAAUUUUAUUCUAAACCCUAGAAUAUAGAUCCGUUUCUCUCCUCUCUCCCACUCAACCCACACCUCCGAUGCCUCCGCAAUUGUGCCCGGCUCGAGAUCUCCCUCUAGGUUGCUCGGAUCCAGGGAAGCUAUACUAAUCAAGAACUUCGGCCUGAUGAACAGUCAAAUGUUGCGCCACGAAAAUGACGACGCUUUAGUGGAAUACUUGUCAGCUCCGUUUUCUUCAUCGACUCCAAUUGCGUGUACUUUCUCUGUGGAAUCAUACGCCCUCUCUUAUUCAUCUUACUCAUACAAAUCAAUCAAUCGUUCAGCGGGCAAUUGCUGUUGCUGUUCUUCCUCAUGUGAAGCAUAUUUUCCUUAAAGAAAAAGGAAAAUCAAGAAGUGAAGAAGGAAAAAGAGUGGCUGAUUUGGGUGGUGACGUGGUGUUGGUGAGGUGUAUGUGGGGCGACGAUGGAGGUGUGCUAGCAGUGUUAAUCUGGGCAGUGUUGGUAAGGUUAUGGGUUGUGUAUUAUUGGUGUGUUCAGUGGUGGCAAUGGCGGUGCGAUAGGAUUGCUUAUGGUGGUAUGUGACCACUAUUUCACGCAUGUGGCCAACCAUUUAAUUUAAUUAUCUGUAACCAAUAGUUUAAGGGUGACCUAAGAAUUUUACAAUUUGUGAUCAAUUAAUUUGACCUUGGAGUAAUUUGAGACUUGUAAAUUUUGGAUCUGUGACCUACAAAAUUUUCUAUUUGUGACCUCAAAAUAAUUUGUGAUCAAUUAAUUUGAUGAUAUGUGACCAGUAAAUAAAUCUGUAACCUAUAAUUAUGAAUUCGU